GUGCUUGUUUCAGCAGCACAUAUACUAAAAUUGGAACAACACAGAGAAGAUUAGCAUGGCCCCUAUGCAAGGAUGAGAAUGCUUGCUUGCUUGAAUAGAAUGUAUAA
Molecule: small nuclear RNA, 107 nt
Organism: Suncus etruscus (white-toothed pygmy shrew)
Lineage: Eukaryota; Metazoa; Chordata; Mammalia; Eulipotyphla; Soricidae
Source: RefSeq, a predicted model, not a curated record